Long non-coding RNA from Sceloporus undulatus (fence lizard), 766 nucleotides. RefSeq lists it as uncharacterized. The transcript has 2 exons. The record is from RefSeq and is a predicted model, not a curated record. NCBI's taxonomy places the organism in Eukaryota, Metazoa, Chordata, Lepidosauria, Squamata, Phrynosomatidae.
UAUGUGUGCGCCACACGCUUGGGGAGCUGUUGUGUGUGCAUGAGGGGGAUAGCUGUGAUGGUACUCUUGUCACUGUUUGCUCCUUGAGGGAAGGUGUUUAUGAGCCCUUUCCUUGUGGUUUGGCUUGGGGCUUGUGAGUCAGUGGAUGGAAGACCAACAGUCUUGUCCCUUUGGGCCUGUUAAAAACAUUGCAAAUCAGAGGAUUACAAGAAUGGCAAAGGACAUAUGAAUGCCAAAGUAAAAAGGAGAAACCAGUUGUACUAUAGAACAAAUUUUAACCUCUGAACAACACCCCUGGGCAAUGUCCGCAAGUAGACACUUUCAAAACCAUUUGUUUGUGUCCAGAUGGAAUCUCUACUGCAGCUGUGUGUGCAUUUGGAGUGUUGCUUGCUGUCUAUGGUAUCAUUGUAGCAAGGGCCCAGAAGCUGCAAAUGGGAACAUGGACAGUGCCGGACGGCACCACCACCUUGGAGGGCAACAGCGGAGACCUCACCAGGCCCAAGGCAAUCUUGGAGGGCAGCAGAGGAGACCGCAGAGCCAGCGCCAUCUUAGACACCAGAACGUCCCCAAUUUGGGGCUCUGAGACCCGAUUCGUUGGAGUUGGAGACUGCAUAGUAAUGUCAACAGUAAUGAAGGGACAUUUGGAUUUUGAAUCAUCUACCAUUCCUUCUGUGUGAGACAGCCUACAUACAAGGUUUAUGAUGGCAUUUAUGAGCUAUGGACAUUAGCAGUUUACCAAUAUUAAAUCUGCUUAAUUUAAACUUUA